This 69-nucleotide transfer RNA is filed under the name Sceloporus squamosus. RNAcentral describes it as "tRNA-Trp". The record is from RNAcentral. Lineage: Eukaryota; Metazoa; Chordata; Lepidosauria; Squamata; Phrynosomatidae.
AGAGACUUAGGAUCAACCAAACCGAGGGCCUUCAAAGCCCUAGACAGGGAUAAUACCCCCUAGUUUCUG